This 253-nucleotide unclassified non-coding RNA is filed under the name uncultured Flavobacteriaceae bacterium. Its description in RNAcentral is "contains 16S-23S intergenic spacer region". It matches the Rfam family "Bacterial small subunit ribosomal RNA", at positions 524 to 776 of the family's 1533-position model. The record is from RNAcentral. Lineage: Bacteria; Pseudomonadati; Bacteroidota; Flavobacteriia; Flavobacteriales; Flavobacteriaceae.
UACGGAGGAUCCAAGCGUUAUCCGGAAUCAUUGGGUUUAAAGGGUCCGUAGGCGGGUCGAUAAGUCAGUGGUGAAAGUCUGCAGCUCAACUGUAGAAUUGCCAUUGAUACUGGUUGUCUUGAAUUAUUAUGAAGUGGUUAGAAUAAGUAGUGUAGCGGUGAAAUGCAUAGAUAUUACUUAGAAUACCAAUUGCGAAGGCAGAUCACUAAUAAUAUAUUGACGCUGAGGGACGAAAGCGUAGGUAGCGAACAGG